UAUCGAUAUGCAAAGACAAAACAUAUGUUGUAAAAGCAUAUGGUGCGAAAAGUGAAGUGCAUUAAUUGCAAAAUUGCAACUGGAAACAGCUUACUACCAAGUACUAGAGAGUAUGUGCACUACAAGGCAGAGAUGUGUGUGAAAGCAAGCUAACUGCAAGUAUAUCAUCCAGUGGUACAAGAAGAAGUAGCUGAGAAGACUCCGCGUCCCAAACAUCGAGUAGUGCCGCUAGUUUAGUUAAGUGCGUUUGUGUUGAUAUUAGUCAGUGCACUGUAGUAUUUGUUUACUGCAUGUAU
Molecule: small RNA, 296 nt
Filed under: Drosophila mojavensis
Lineage: Eukaryota; Metazoa; Arthropoda; Insecta; Diptera; Drosophilidae
Description: GI27077
Source: RNAcentral